GGGGGUAUAGCUCAGUGGUAUAGUGCAUGCUUACCAUGUGUGAGGUCCUGGGUUCAAUUCCCAGUACCUCUG
Non-coding RNA from Vicugna pacos (alpaca), 72 nucleotides. NCBI's taxonomy places the organism in Eukaryota, Metazoa, Chordata, Mammalia, Artiodactyla, Camelidae. The record is from the annotation of a RefSeq genome assembly.